Molecule: long non-coding RNA, 1689 nt
Organism: Sarcophilus harrisii (Tasmanian devil)
Lineage: Eukaryota; Metazoa; Chordata; Mammalia; Dasyuromorphia; Dasyuridae
Source: Ensembl
GGAGUGCAUUCUGCCUAGAUUUUAGAGCUUGAGCAUUUUGGCAAGAUGUUGGUCUGCAUUUUUUCCAGAUGUUUAAGUAUCCUCCAUCUGCUGCUUUCAGUAGGAUUUGGAUGAGAAGAGUCUAUUGGUUAGGCUUGGAUACAGCUGUUUGCUUUCUUCCUAGAAUCUGAGUGUUAAAAUCCAGAGGGUCCUAACUUUUGUUCCUAUAAGGAAUUUCUCUCCCUCUGAAGUAAAGUGCAUGAAGAAAACAAGGAGGAUGACUCAUAAUAGGCUUCCUUUCUUCAUCUACAAUGCCCGAUACCUGUCCUUCAUUUAUCCUUUUUCUACACUGUGUCCUUAUUUCUGAGGCCAUGAGACUUCAGGGAGGUCUUGAUCUUUUUAGUGUUUUGGUUAACCUUCCUGUAUGGGGUAGGGGACAAAUACACAGAAAAGAAAACCAAAAGUUAUCAUCCCACAUUGCUGUAGUUAAGCAGCAGGUCAGGGCUUCCUCUUUGGCCUGCCCUGACAUUCUGAGCAGGACCUCAGUGCACAGUAGCCUAAAACUCACCACUCCAUAGGCUGGGAGCCUUCUACUUUAACCCUCUCCUAGGUAACUAUUCUUAUUGGGUUCAAGAAGAGCUGUAAAACAAAUGCAGCAAGACUUUGCAUCAGUGUUGCUCCCCCCAUGCUUAACAUCUCCUUGUGGUAGUUUUAUAAUUCUUAGGAGUAGAUGAUUUAUCCUUUCUGCAUAACAAGUGCCUUACUUUGCAAUACUUCUUUUGGACCCCGACAUAUGUACUGUACAGAGCUUUCCAUUUCUUUCUGCUAACAUGACUCUGGUCUGUGUGCCUUGGGACAUUGUACCCAGGAGUGGCCACCCAUAAAAGGAACACAACACAUGACAGUCUUGCUUCCUUGGUCUCUGUGCCUUUACCUUAUUUCCAUUGUUCUCCUAGUAUACUUUUGGCCUUAUUUAUUGGCUUUUGCCUCAGUUGAUUUUAGACUUUUUCAUAUCAGGUGAAGCAAGGCAGCUUCUCUAGGUAUGGAUGUAGACUGGGGUGGCAGGCCUGCCAGUAGCAAGCAGUGCUCAGACACUUCUUAUGGCCUCAUACUUCAUCCCACAUCCUUCCUCCCCACUCAUCCCAUGAACCAUACCUAUUCUUCUUUCUCUUGUCCCUUCCCAGAGAAAUCUCUUUCUGAGUCUUCAUUCAACCCAAAGUCUAUAAUCUGGAGCUUACUCUUCCUUCCAGACUCGUGUUAAUUCUUAGACGUAGAUGCCUGUUUUGCAGAAAGCCAGGUCAGUGUGGUCCCUUGUCAUAAAAAUAUUGUAUUUAGUUCAUAAUUCAGUGUUAUUCAUGUGUUGCCAGAAGUUCCCCUUUCCCCCCCACUUCUUCCGGGUUGUGCAAUAACUCUCCUAGAACUCGUUAGUUUCUAUAGUUCCUUCUGUCCAUUAUGAAGCCCUGGAAGUUGGGAAGAGAUGGGACACAUAGGAGGAACCAUCAUCCUUCAAUGGAGAAAUUCCAGCUAUUUCCUUUCUAGCUGUAAUUCUCCUUGUCCUAGAUAGGUUUCUGUGGCUCUGCGUUAGAACAUGUAGCAUAAUGUAGAAAUACAUAUUUAAAAAAAAAAAAAAAAUUGUUGAAAAAGAAUCUUCAUGAUGGGGCAUUAAUGUGUUCAGUUUUGAAUAUGACAUUUGGGAGUAAGAUUUUGGCA